This 252-nucleotide ribosomal RNA is filed under the name uncultured bacterium. Its description in RNAcentral is "partial 16S ribosomal RNA". It matches the Rfam family "Bacterial small subunit ribosomal RNA", at positions 524 to 776 of the family's 1533-position model. The record is from RNAcentral.
CACGUAGGGGGCAAGCGUUGUUCGGAAUUAUUGGGCGUAAAGGGCAUGUAGGCGGUUCUGUAAGUCUGGCGUGAAAUGGUUCGGCUUAACCGGAUCCUGCGUCGGAAACUGCGGGACUAGAAUCACUGAGGGGAAAUCAGAAUUCCAGGUGUAGGGGUGAAAUCUGUAGAUAUCUGGAAGAAUACCGGUGGCGAAGGCGGAUUUCUGGCAGAUGAUUGACGCUGAGGUGCGAAAGUGCGGGGAGCAAACAGG